RNAcentral lists this ribosomal RNA (253 nucleotides) under uncultured bacterium. RNAcentral describes it as "partial 16S ribosomal RNA". It matches the Rfam family "Bacterial small subunit ribosomal RNA", at positions 524 to 776 of the family's 1533-position model. The record is from RNAcentral.
UACGUAGGGUGCAAGCGUUGUCCGGAAUUAUUGGGCGUAAAGGGCUCGUAGGCGGUUUGUCGCGUCGGGAGUGAAAACCCAGGGCUUAACCCUGGGCUGGCUUCCGAUACGGGCAGACUAGAGGUAUGCAGGGGAGAACGGAAUUCCUGGUGUAGCGGUGAAAUGCGCAGAUAUCAGGAGGAACACCGGUGGCGAAGGCGGCAUUCUGGACCGAAACUGACACUGAGGCGCGAAAGCCAGGGGAGCAAACGGG